ACGACAAUAUCAUGUUGAAAAACCGGUUAUUGUACGAUCACCGAAGUUAAGCAACGUCGAGCAUUGUCAGUACUUAGAUGGGUGACCGCUUCGGAAUACCAGGUUUUGUAAG
Acanthosepion pharaonis is the source of this 112-nucleotide non-coding RNA. Lineage: Eukaryota; Metazoa; Mollusca; Cephalopoda; Sepiida; Sepiidae. The record is from the annotation of a GenBank genome assembly.